GGGGUGUUAGCUCAGCGGUAGAGCAAUUGACUGCAGAUCAAUAGGUCUUCAGUUCAAAUCCGGAACGCCCCU
This 72-nucleotide transfer RNA is filed under the name Neocallimastix californiae. It matches the Rfam family "tRNA". Rfam says of the family: Transfer RNA (tRNA) molecules are approximately 80 nucleotides in length. RNAcentral also lists the same sequence under 2 other names. Lineage: Eukaryota; Fungi; Neocallimastigomycota; Neocallimastigomycetes; Neocallimastigales; Neocallimastigaceae. The record is from Rfam by way of RNAcentral.